This is a long non-coding RNA of Pan troglodytes (chimpanzee), 1143 nucleotides long. RefSeq lists it as uncharacterized. The transcript has 5 exons. The record is from RefSeq and is a predicted model, not a curated record. NCBI's taxonomy places the organism in Eukaryota, Metazoa, Chordata, Mammalia, Primates, Hominidae.
AGGAGUGGAGAGAAUAUAACUGAAUGCUGUGUCACAAAUUUACUUUGAUCUCAUGUACCCCGUAAAUACAGACACCUACUAUGUACCAGAAAAAUUAAAAAUAAAAAUAACAAAUUCACAUUCCGCUUGUUCAUCCUGAUUCUUCAGGCCUGGCCACUGUAUCAAAGACAACAAGGAAGGCCCAUUGCCUGCCCUCAUGCUGGUUGUUCAGCCCUCCAAGAAUCAUUCUUGAUGCCCUGCAAGUACCAGGCGCUGCGCUAGGCCCUGCAGAUGCGACAACGAACGUAGAUGCUGUCCCAGCCACCCAUACUCGCUGCCGGGGGAAGAACCAGAGACGGGGGUCUCGCUAUGUUGCCCAGGCUGGUCUCAAACUCCUGACUCAAACCAUCCUCCUGCCUCAAACUCCCAAGUGCUGGGAUUACAGGUGUGAGCCACCACAUCCGGCAAGAGAAGCUGGGCCUUGGGGAAUCAGAGUGAUGCUUGGGUCCAUCCUUGGGUGCAGUGGCUCAGGAAGCAUGCGCACCCCAGAAAAGCUAGUUCCCAGGUGGCCAGAAGGAAGGAAGGAGAGGUGGCUGGCUAAAGUGACCAGCAGCAACCAGGUGGAGGCGGUGGUUGUGUGGAUCCUGGAGCAUUGUUCGGGGCUUCUGAGGUGGGCAGAAUAAUCUCCCCCGUCCCAGUAUGUCCAGGUACAAAUCUCAAGAACUGUUCUAAGAUCCCCCUGUGGAUGCCUGAAACUGCAGAGAGUACCAAGCCUGACUGCCGCCAAUCAGAAGAAGUUUCUGUUCAGGUCUUCCACCCACGAAUGUAAUGCCUUUUUCGUCUUAACUAAGCACUUAUCACGCACUGUGGUCAUCACUUUUGCAGUUUGAGGUAUAAUUAUGCAAAGCAAAGAAUCCAGGAAAGAAUUGCCAGAGAAGGAAUUAAAAAUAAGAUAUUAUGUGAAAGUACCCAUCUUGAUCCUGAAAGAAAAGAAACCAAGGGCAACAGCAGCAAUUGAACAAUCUUGAGCAUAGACAAUCAGACUCCCUGAAGUCAGUGUGAACAAAGCUAAGCUCAACCACAUAAAACAUUCUAUGUACAAUAGGCUCUCAAUCAAGUAAAUAAAGUUUAAGUUGUAAUAAAUAAAGAAAGAAAGGAAGAAAA